GAUGAACGCUGGCGGCGUGCCUAAUACAUGCCAGUCGAGCGAACGGACGAGAAGCUUGCUUCUCUGAUGUUAGCGGCGGACGGGUGAGUAACACGUGGAUAAACUACCUAUAAGACUGGGAUAACUUCGGGAAACCGGAGCUAAUACCGGAUAAUAUUUUGAACCGCAUGGUUCAAAAGUGAAAGACGGUCUUGCUGUCACUUAUAGAUGGAUCCGCGCUGCAUUAGCUAGUUGGUAAGGUAACGGCUUACCAAGGCAACGAUGCAUAGCCGACCUGAGAGGGUGAUCGGCCACACUGGAACUGAGACACGGUCCAGACUCCUACGGGAGGCAGCAGUAGGGAAUCUUCCGCAAUGGGCGAAAGCCUGACGGAGCAACGCCGCGUGAGUGAUGAAGGUCUUCGGAUCGUAAAACUCUGUUAUUAGGGAAGAACAUAUGUGUAAGUAACUGUGCACAUCUUGACGGUACCUAAUCAGAAAGCCACGGCUAACUACGUG
This 497-nucleotide ribosomal RNA is filed under the name uncultured bacterium. Its description in RNAcentral is "partial 16S ribosomal RNA". It matches the Rfam family "Bacterial small subunit ribosomal RNA", at positions 28 to 507 of the family's 1533-position model. The record is from RNAcentral.